Pezoporus flaviventris is the source of this 495-nucleotide long non-coding RNA. RefSeq lists it as uncharacterized. NCBI's taxonomy places the organism in Eukaryota, Metazoa, Chordata, Aves, Psittaciformes, Psittacidae. The transcript is spliced from 3 exons. The record is from RefSeq and is a predicted model, not a curated record.
GUCACCUCCAUGCUGUGAACAAUAGCGAAGCCCAUUAACUGGCUCUGCUGAAGAAGGGAAGCCAUUUCACUUGACAUCAAGAGGUUGUAAAAGUGCAAUUUAUCCUUUCUUAUUGCAGCCACCACACACCCCGCUGAGAUGCAGAGGCAGUGUGGUCUUAAAUCACUGCUGGAAAGGCAUAGAAUUACUGUAGGAGGAUCAUAUGCAAUGACAACGCUUUAGGCUUUUUCUGCUUCUCCGUGAUAUUCUUCAGUUUGAGGAAGAUGCAAUGAAAGACUGCAGCAUCCCCUGUUCUGGAAAAAAGUGUGUCAAGAGGAGCUGUCAUUUUCCUACUGUUUGAUCAGCACAGCUGAAGAAUGGUUGGGAAAGUGCAUCUGCCUUCAAAUGCCUUCCCAGAGGAUGAUGAUCCUGCUCCUGCUCAUAUCUCAAAAUCACCCCAGGGGAAAGGACCAGCUGCAGCCCAGAGGGCUGCGAUGGAUUAAACAAAUUCUUCCU